UUUACAAGUUGCGACUUUUUGGAGUGGGUAGGUUGUGUUCUGCACUAGGAGAACAUUUUGGGACCCUUUGGAGACUUUCCUACCAUGUUUUAGGGCUGGAAAAUGGUUUAGGAUGGUCCAUUGGUUGUUUAUUAUUGCUAAGUGCCAAGUGCAUGGGUCCUUAGUUGUCUAAGGCAUCUUCUUUUAAUUCCAAAUCAGAUUUGGAGUUUUGGGGGAGAGUAGAGAGGUCCUUGGUGGGAGGUGAACGAAAUCCUAAGUGUCCUAAGUGUGGAGGCUGACUUGGUCUAGCAAGGAGGAGAGGAGUUGCUCUCUUUGAAGAAGAGUUUAAGGUGUUUUAGUCUUCAUGAGAAACUAUUUCAGAUGAAUUAGCAGAUGGUUCUGGACUUGCUUAGAAGAUGAGAGAUCUAUGGGGAGAAAAAAAAAGAGACAUGGGGAAUUUCUAAAUAAAUAUGUUUUGAAAUUUCAAACUGUGUGGAAUUUUAAAUUUCAGAAGUUUAUGAACUGUGUGAAACUUUAUUUUAGAAGACUUGUG
This 532-nucleotide small RNA is filed under the name Vigna angularis var. angularis. Its description in RNAcentral is "Non-protein coding transcript". The record is from RNAcentral. Lineage: Eukaryota; Viridiplantae; Streptophyta; Magnoliopsida; Fabales; Fabaceae.